RNAcentral lists this ribosomal RNA (424 nucleotides) under Pseudoeryx plicatilis. RNAcentral describes it as "partial large subunit ribosomal RNA". It matches the Rfam family "Bacterial large subunit ribosomal RNA", at positions 1923 to 2564 of the family's 2925-position model. The record is from RNAcentral. Lineage: Eukaryota; Metazoa; Chordata; Lepidosauria; Squamata; Dipsadidae.
UUAAACGGCCGCGGUACCCUAACCGUGCAAAGGUAGCAUAAUCAUUUGUCUAUUAAUUGUAGACCAGUAUGAAAGGCAAAAUGAGGGUCUAACUGUCUCUUAUAGUUAAUCAAUUAAACUGAUCUCCUAGUAAAAAAGCUAGUAUAUAACCAUAAGACCAGAAGACCCUGUGAAGCUUAAACUAAACUAUUAAACUAAAUAAUAACUACUUUCGGUUGGGGCGACCUUGGAAAAAAAAAGAACUUCCAAAUACCAGUGAUUAUAAAUCACCCCAGGCCCACAAGCCACACUUAGACCCAGUCUAACUGAUAAAUGAACCAAGUUACUCCAGGGAUAACAGCGCUAUCUUCUUCAAGAGUCCAUAUCAAAAAGAAGGUUUACGACCUCGAUGUUGGAUCAGGACAUCCUAAUGGUGUAGCCGCUA